Molecule: RNA transcript, 975 nt
Organism: Capsicum annuum
Lineage: Eukaryota; Viridiplantae; Streptophyta; Magnoliopsida; Solanales; Solanaceae
Gene name: protein cornichon homolog 4
Exons: 5
Source: RefSeq, a predicted model, not a curated record
GAAAGAACCAUAUAGAGCUAACAUAAAUGGAUAAAAGUUGAGGAGUACCCCUCGGUUAUACAAUACGUAUAAUGAAAUCUUCCGAUAAGACAAUCGCUUCAAGAGAGGUGUUAGUGUAAUAUAUUGUUAUUCUACAGUACCAAAGGCACUACACCUUAUUAAUAUUGAUUAUUGUGGCACAAAAGAUAAUUUUAUUUUAUAUAUAUAUUCUUUUUAAAUUUAAGAGAAGCAAUCAAAGAAGAAAAGAGAGGAGGAGGAGUGGAGAAGGGGCCAUGUGGGAUCUAGUCUCAUGGCUUCUUUCCUUCUUCUGUCUCGUUGCCCUUCUCGCCGCUGUUCUUUACCAGGUCAUGUGCUUGGCAGACCUUGAAAGUGAUUAUGUCAACCCUUAUGAUUCAGCAGCCGAGAUUAACAUAAUUGUGGUUCCAGAAUUUGUUCUUCAAGGAGCACUAUGUUUCCUGCAUCUUGUGAUGGGGCAUUGGUUAAUGUGUCUGGCCUGUCUCCCAUACUUAUAUUAUGAUGUCAAAGUAUAUACUGGUCGUCGCCACUUGCUAGAUGUAACUGAGAUUUUCAACCAGCUACCAUGGGAAAAGAAGAUUCGGUUAUAUAAGCUUGGAUACCUUGGGAUACUUCUUGUAUUUUCUAUAAUCUGUAUGAUCUGGAGCAUUGUAGCGGAAUGAAGAAUGAGGAAUUGCUGAUCUCACCAAGGUUCCCCAGUUUCUCUCUCUGUUGUAUGACACUUGCAUAAGAAAAAGAUGGAGGGUGUUAACUUGGUUCUAUGAAUUGAUGGAAAGUGAGAUGCUUUGUGUGGGUUUUCUCAGUAAUGAUGCCAUUUUUGCUGAGAAUGAUGUUAAUCCUCUUUAAGGAAAGGAUUGGUUGUCCUCAACUAGGGAAAACAUAUUGACAGUAGAUUUUUAAGAUACUAUUAUUGAUACUAGAUAUACUGUCAAUUACCAUCUUCAUUCGCUGCCACUAUUA